AGCACCAUCUCACACACACUCUACGCAGGGAAGCCGAUGAAUAUAAGUGAGUGUUCCGAAAAAGAAAAAAAAAGAGAAAAAAAUAAAGGAAUGCACCUUCUAAGUUUGGUGACCCUCACCCGGUCACUUAACCCAACGGUUGUAGAACCUUCAAAAAAAAAAGUUUUUGACUCGUUGUUAGUUGGUUCAAUGGUUUCUGGUGCUGAACUUGGUAGGGCGAAUUACGGUCCGAUCCCCCGCAACUACAAGUGAGUAAGUAAAGGGUUAUGCCACUUAAGUACCAGAACCCCGUGCAGAA
Molecule: long non-coding RNA, 298 nt
Filed under: Lathyrus oleraceus (garden pea)
Lineage: Eukaryota; Viridiplantae; Streptophyta; Magnoliopsida; Fabales; Fabaceae
Description: Pisum sativum (pea) long non-coding RNA (PSAT_LNC031331)
Source: RNAcentral